Molecule: ribosomal RNA, 497 nt
Filed under: uncultured bacterium
Lineage: Bacteria
Description: partial 16S ribosomal RNA
Rfam family: Bacterial small subunit ribosomal RNA
Source: RNAcentral
GAUGAACGCUGGCGGCGUGCCUAAUACAUGCAAGUCGAGCGAACGGACGAGAAGCUUGCUUCUCUGAUGUUAGCGGCGGACGGGUGAGUAACACGUGGAUAACCUACCUAUAAGACUGGGAUAACUUCGGGAAACCGGAGCUAAUACCGGAUAAUAUUUUGAACCGCAUGGUUCAAAAGUGAAAGACGGUCUUGCUGUCACUUAUAGAUGGAUCCGCGCUGCAUUAGCUAGUUGGUAAGGUAACGGCUUACCAAGGCAACGACGCAUAGCCGACCUGAGAGGGUGAUCGGCCACACUGGAACUGAGAAACGGUCCAGACUCCUACGGGAGGGAGCAGUAGGGAAUCUUCCGCAAUGGGCGAAAGCCUGACGGAGCAACGCCGCGUGAGAGAUGAAGGUCUUCGGAUCGUAAAACUCUGUUAUUAGGGAAGAACAUAUGUGUAAGUAACUGUGCACAUCUUGACGGUACCUAAUCAGAAAGCCACGGCUAACUACGUG